This 423-nucleotide ribosomal RNA is filed under the name uncultured prokaryote. RNAcentral's name for it is "bacterial SSU rRNA". It matches the Rfam family "Bacterial small subunit ribosomal RNA", at positions 355 to 795 of the family's 1533-position model. The record is from RNAcentral.
UGAGGAAUAUUGGACAAUGGGGGAAACCCUGAUCCAGCCAUGCCGCGUGAAUGAUGAAGGCCUUAGGGUUGUAAAGUUCUUUCAGUAGUGAAGAUAAUGACGGUAACUACAGAAGAAGCCCCGGCUAACUUCGUGCCAGCAGCCGCGGUAAUACGAAGGGGGCUAGCGUUGUUCGGAAUCACUGGGCGUAAAGCGCGCGUAGGCGGACAUGUAAGUCAGAUGUGAAAUCCCGGGGCCCAACCCCGGAACUGCAUUUGAAACUACAUGUCUAGAGACUCGGAGGGGGUAGCGGAAUUCCUAAUGUAGGGGUGAAAUCCGUAGAGAUUAGGAGGAACACCGGUGGCGAAGGCGGCUACCUGGACGAGUACUGACGCUGAGGUGCGAAAGCGUGGGGAGCAAACAGGAUUAGAUACCCGUGUAGUC